RNAcentral lists this ribosomal RNA (422 nucleotides) under uncultured fungus. RNAcentral's name for it is "SSU rRNA". It matches the Rfam family "Eukaryotic small subunit ribosomal RNA", at positions 572 to 999 of the family's 1831-position model. Lineage: Eukaryota; Fungi. The record is from RNAcentral.
AGCCGCGGUAAUUCCAGCUCCAAUAGCGUAUAUUAAAGUUGUUGCAGUUAAAAAGCUCGUAGUUGAACCUUGGGUCUGGCUGGCCGGUCCGCCUCACCGCGAGUACUGGUCCGGCUGGACCUUUCCUUCUGGGGAAUCCCAUGGCCUUCACUGGCUGUGGGUGGAGCCAGGACUUUUACUGUGAAAAAAUUAGAGUGUUCAAAGCAGGCCUUUGCUCGAAUACAUUAGCAUGGAAUAAUAGAAUAGGACGUGCGGUUCUAUUUUGUUGGUUUCUAGGACCGCCGUAAUGAUUAAUAGGGAUAGUCGGGGGCGUCAGUAUUCAGCUGUCAGAGGUGAAAUUCUUGGAUUUGCUGAAGACUAACUACUGCGAAAGCAUUCGCCAAGGAUGUUUUCAUUAAUCAGGGAACGAAAGUUAGGGGAUC